CGCUGAACUUAAGCAUAUCAAUAAGCGGAGGAAAAGAAACCAACAGGGAUUGCCUCAGUAACGGCGAGUGAAGCGGCAACAGCUCAAAUUUGAAAUCUGGUACCCUUGGUACCCGAGUUGUAAUUUGUAGAGGAUGCUUCGGGUUUGGCCCCGGCCUAAGUUCCUUGGAACAGGACGUCGCAGAGGGUGAGAAUCCCGUAUGUGGCUGGAGGUCUAUGCCCAUGUGAAGCUCCUUCGACGAGUCGAGUUGUUUGGGAAUGCAGCUCAAAAUGGGUGGUAAAUUUCAUCUAAAGCUAAAUACCGGCGGGAGACCGAUAGCGCACAAGUAGAGUGAUCGAAAGAUGAAAAGCACUUUGGAAAGAGAGUUAAAAAGUACGUGAAAUUGUUGAAAGGGAAGCGCUUGCGACCAGACUUGCCUGCAGUUGAUCAACCGGUGUUCUCACCGGUGCACUCCGCUGUGGUCAGGCCAGCAUCGGUUUAGACGGUUGGAGAAAGGCCGUGGGAAUGUGGCUCUCUUCGGGGAGCGUUAUAGCCCACGGUGUCAUGCAACCAGCCUGGACCGAGGACCGCGCUUCGGCUAGGAUGCUGGCGUAAUGGUUGUAAGCGACCCGUCUUGAAACACGGACCAAGGAGUCUAACAUCUAUGCGAGUGUUUGGGUGUUAAACCCACACGCGUAAUGAAAGUGAACGGAGGUGGGAACCCUUAAGGGUGCACCAUCGACCGAUCCUGAUGUCUUCGGAUGGAUUUGAGUAAGAGCAUAGCUGUUGGGACCCGAAAGAUGGUGAACUAUGCCUGAAUAGGGUGAAGCCAGAGGAAACUCUGGUGGAGGCUCGCAGCGGUUCUGACGUGCAAAUCGAUCGUCAAAUUUGGGUAUAGGGGCGAAAGACUAAUCGAACCAUUGUUGGAGAGCACUUUAAAUAUACCCAUUUGUUAGUAACGUUAGACAUACUAUCAAAUGUAAGCAAAUAUUGAAGCGCACACACAGUUAUGUCUGAUAUAUUUGCUAAAUGUCUCGAACGGAUGAGGGUAUUAUUAUUUGCUACUAGGUGGUUAAGAGGCAGAUAAAAGUUCUGUCUAGUCCCUGUUCACGGGGCAACACUGUCAAAUUGCGGGGACACCCUUAGAGCUCAAACAACCGCAGCCUCUCCGAAAGGAAGGUGCGCACCAGGGUAAUGACCUCGGGUAUGGUAAUAUGGUUUGAGAUUGGGCAAUCUGCAGCAAAGUCCUAAUGGCCCCUUGGCCCAUGGAUGAAGUUCACAGACUAGAUGGCAGUGGGUGAAGGUCUUGCCUUUGCUUAAGGUAUAGUCGGACCACCAGGAAACUGGGCAGUUAGGAUGAAGCACCUGGAGAGUGAGCCCUGCAAUCGUGGGUCUCUUGGUGCUGGAGCCUACUGGAGAGUGGCAGCUCUCGGGUUAAUGCUAGUAGCUGGUUCCUGCCGAAGUUUCCCUCAGGAUAGCAGUAACGUAUUCAGUUUUAUGAGGUAAAGCGAAUGAUUAGAGGCCUUGGGGUUGAAACAACCUUAACCUAUUCUCAAACUUUAAAUAUGUAAGAAGUCCUUGUUAC
Molecule: ribosomal RNA, 1564 nt
Filed under: Nothomitra cinnamomea
Lineage: Eukaryota; Fungi; Ascomycota; Geoglossomycetes
Description: eukaryotic LSU rRNA
Rfam family: Eukaryotic large subunit ribosomal RNA
Source: RNAcentral